GACGAACGCUGGCGGCGUGCUUAACACAUGCAAGUCGAACGGAAAGGCCCUGCUUUUGUGGGGUUCUCGAGUGGCGAACGGGUGAGUAACACGUGAGUAUCCUGCCCUUGACUUUGGGAUAACUUCAGGAAACUGGGGCUAAUACCGGAUAGGAGCUCCUGCUGCUUGGUGUGGGUUGGAAAGUUUCGGCGGUUGGGUAUGGACUCGCGGCUUAUCAGCUUGUUGGUGGGGUAGUGGCUUACCAAGGCUUUGACGGGUAGCCGGCCUGAGAGGGUCACCGGCCACAUUGGGACUGCGAUACGGGCCAGACUCCUACGGGAGGCAGCAGUGGGGAAUAUUGCAGAAUGGGCGGAAGCCAGAUGCAGCAAUGCCGCGUGCGGGAUGACGGCCUUCGGGUUGUAAACCGCUUUCGCCUGUGACGAAGCGUGAGUGACGGUAAUGGGUAAAGAAGCACCGGCUAACUACGUG
This 468-nucleotide ribosomal RNA is filed under the name uncultured bacterium. RNAcentral's name for it is "partial 16S ribosomal RNA". It matches the Rfam family "Bacterial small subunit ribosomal RNA", at positions 28 to 507 of the family's 1533-position model. The record is from RNAcentral.